UAUAGGGAGCCAGGUUGGGAUUCAAUGAUAGAGAAUUUAAGUUAAAUCCCCUAUUU
RNAcentral lists this transfer RNA (56 nucleotides) under Bisetocreagris titanium. Its description in RNAcentral is "tRNA-Ile". The record is from RNAcentral. Lineage: Eukaryota; Metazoa; Arthropoda; Arachnida; Pseudoscorpiones; Neobisiidae.